GAUCCUGGCUCAGGAUGAGCGCUAGCUACAGGCUUAACACAUGCAAGUCGUGGGGCAGCAUGGGAGAUGCUUGCAUUUCCCGAUGGCGACCGGCGCACGGGUGAGUAACGCGUAUCCAACCUGCCCUUCACUCCGGCACAGCCCGUCGAAAGACGGAUUAAUGCGGGAUGCAGUCAGAAAGAUGCAUAUUAAUUGACGAAAGGUCUUCGGGCCGGUGAGGGAUGGGGA
RNAcentral lists this ribosomal RNA (228 nucleotides) under uncultured bacterium. Its description in RNAcentral is "partial 16S ribosomal RNA". It matches the Rfam family "Bacterial small subunit ribosomal RNA", at positions 15 to 231 of the family's 1533-position model. The record is from RNAcentral.